RNAcentral lists this ribosomal RNA (253 nucleotides) under uncultured bacterium. Its description in RNAcentral is "partial 16S ribosomal RNA". It matches the Rfam family "Bacterial small subunit ribosomal RNA", at positions 524 to 776 of the family's 1533-position model. The record is from RNAcentral.
UACGUAGGUGGCAAGCGUUGUCCGGAGUUAUUGGGCCUAAAGAGCGUGUAGGCGGCUUGGUAAGUCCGCUGUGAAAGUCCAGGGCUCAACCCUGGAAAGCCGGUGGAAACUGUCAAGCUUGAGUCCGGAAGAGGCGAGUGGAAUUCCUGGUGUAGCGGUGAAAUGCGCAGAUAUCAGGAGGAACACCAAUGGCGAAGGCAGCUCGCUGGGACGGUACUGACGCUGAGACGCGAAAGCGUGGGGAGCAAACAGG